Molecule: non-coding RNA, 125 nt
Organism: Podarcis lilfordi (Lilford's wall lizard)
Lineage: Eukaryota; Metazoa; Chordata; Lepidosauria; Squamata; Lacertidae
Source: the annotation of a GenBank genome assembly
GUCAAGAAACAGGCAAGCAGGCUUUUCAACCUUCUCUUCUACCUGAUGGGGAUUGCUGAGACACCCUAAACAAUCCCCGUCGGGUUGAAGAGAAGGUUGAAAAGUGGCAAGAGGGCCAGAGCCCC